AUGUGUAAGGCGUGUGCAGUCACAAGGAUCUCGCACACGUGUGAGAAGUACCUGGGAGCCGCACAGGCCCUCAUGCCAUCUGGUGUGUGGGGACCAGCACCAAGCACCUGCACACAUAGCGGUGAGCAUGCCAGUUCAGCACGAGACAGACACGGGAUAAACACCCUUGAAGCCUGCUGCCCCGAGUCCCUCAGACGCCGCACCAGGGAUCUGCAUCUCUGGUGUGCGUCUGGCUCGCCUCAGCGCACCAAUGGCCUCGCAGUCGACGCAACUUGUUUGUUGAGUGACGUCUCUGUGCAUUGUCCAUUUGGCUGCUCUAACAACCACACAGGGGCUUCUCAACAGCAGGCGUCUGUGCUCUCAGUUCUGGGGCCUGGAGGCCAGGCCCGGGCAUGGCUGGCUAAGGGCCACGUGAGCCCACGUACUGGGUCCCGGUUGGCAUUGUUAUACUGCGUCCUCACUUCAUACCACAACCUCACGUCACACCAUGGCCUCACAUCUCACUGCAUCUCCAUACUGCACCGCGUCCACACGUCUGUGUCCUGUCACACCCCAUCCACACGUCUGUGUCCUCCUGUCACACCCCGUCCACACGUCUGUGUCCUCCUGUCACACCCCGUCCACACGUCUGUGUCCUGUCACACCCCAUCCACACGUCUGUGUCCUCCUGUCACACCACGUCUGUGACACUGAGAGCCGGUCAGAGAAGCUGUGCUCACGGUCAGGUAUGUGUGGGACUGGGAUCCCAGUGAAGGUGGUGGGGUGGGCCCGGGGCUUCCCGAGAUAAGUGGGGCAAGACAUGUGUCCUUCCCGCAGGAAUAGGACACAAUCAGCUGUGGGCUUGGUGCCAUCAGCUCCGUCUAGGACGCGAGGGCCGAGUUCUUGUGGGAGAGGAGUAUUGUGAGGAAGGGACUGGAGCAGCGGACGGCACGGCUGUUGCUCCUCACUUGCUCUGGCCUGAAUGUCGGUGUCCACCCCUGCUCUCCUCUGUCUGCUGAAAUCUUAACCCCGGGGUGUGGAAAAGGGAGGCGGGGCCCCUCGGGCGAUGAGGUCUGUGGGGUGAGCACCCAACAGGAAGGACCCAGAGACCCCUGCACUUCUCACCCCAUGAGGACACGGCAUGACGGGAAGACACAGUUCAGAGGAUGGGGCGAUUCGUGAAUACGGUGUGACAGGAGGAUGCAGACGUGUGGACAUGGUGUGGCAGGAGGACACAGACCUGUGGACACGGUGUGACAGGACACAGACGUGUGGACGGGGUGUGACAGGAGGACACAGACGUGGGAUGGGGUGUGACAGG
RNAcentral lists this long non-coding RNA (1300 nucleotides) under Oryctolagus cuniculus (rabbit). Its description in RNAcentral is "lncRNA (ENSOCUG00000031009.1)". Lineage: Eukaryota; Metazoa; Chordata; Mammalia; Lagomorpha; Leporidae. The record is from RNAcentral.